AACUAACGCAAAUCAAAGUAACAGUUUCUGUACUUUAUU
This 39-nucleotide unclassified non-coding RNA is filed under the name uncultured trypanosome. Its description in RNAcentral is "trans-spliced leader sequence". The record is from RNAcentral. Lineage: Eukaryota; Euglenozoa; Kinetoplastea; Trypanosomatida; Trypanosomatidae.